GCACUGGCUUCAGCAGCACAUAUACUAAAACUGGAACAAUACAGAGAAGAUUAGCACGGCCCCUGCUCAAGGACGACAUGCAAAUUCGUGAAGCAUUCCAUAUUCUU
This 107-nucleotide small nuclear RNA is filed under the name Delphinapterus leucas (beluga whale). Lineage: Eukaryota; Metazoa; Chordata; Mammalia; Artiodactyla; Monodontidae. The record is from RNAcentral.